GACGAACGCUGGCGGCGUGCUUAACACAUGCAAGUCGAACGGACCCUUUGGGGUUAGUGGCGAACGGGUGAGUAACACGUGGGUGAUCUGCCCUGCACUUUGGGAUAAGCCUGGGAAACUGGGUCUAAUACCGGAUAGGACUACGCACUGCAUGGUGUGUGGUGGAAAGCUUUUGCGGUGUGGGAUGGGCCCGCGGCCUAUCAGCUUGUUGGUGGGGUGAUGGCCUACCAAGGCGACGACGGGUAGCCGGCCUGAGAGGGUGACCGGCCACACUGGGACUGAGAUACGGCCCAGACUCCUACGGGAGGCAGCAGUGGGGAAUAUUGCACAAUGGGCGCAAGCCUGAUGCAGCGACGCCGCGUGAGGGAUGACGGCCUUCGGGUUGUAAACCUCUUUCGCCAGGGACGAAGCGCAAGUGACGGUACCUGGAGAAGAAGGACCGGCCAACUACGUGCCAGCAGCCGCGGUAAUACGUAGGGUCCGAGCGUUGUCCGGAAUUACUGGGCGUAAAGAGCUCGUAGGUGGUUUGUCGCGUUGUUCGUGAAAACUCACAGCUUAACUGUGGGCGUGCGGGCGAUACGGGCAGACUGGAGUACUGCAGGGGAGACUGGAAUUCCUGGUGUAGCGGUGGAAUGCGCAGAUAUCAGGAGGAACACCGGUGGCGAAGGCGGGUCUCUGGGCAGUAACUGACGCUGAGGAGCGAAAGCGUGGGGAGCGAACAGGAUUAGAUACCCUGGUAGUCCACGCCGUAAACGGUGGGUACUAGGUGUGGGUUUCCUUCCUUGGGAUCCGUGCCGUAGCUAACGCAUUAAGUACCCCGCCUGGGGAGUACGGCCGCAAGGCUAAAACUCAAAGGAAUUGACGGGGGCCCGCACAAGCGGCGGAGCAUGUGGAUUAAUUCGAUGCAACGCGAAGAACCUUACCUGGGUUUGACACGCACAGGACGCCGGCAGAGAUGUCGGUUCCCUUGUGGCCUGUGUGCGGGUGGUGCAUGGCUGUCGUCAGCUCGUGUCGUGAGAUGUCGGGUUAAGUCCCGCAACGAGCGCAACCCUUGUCUCAUGUUGCCAGCACGUUAUGGUGGGGACUCGUGAGAGACUGCCGGGGUCAACUCGGAGGAAGGUGGGGAUGACGUCAAGUCAUCAUGCCCCUUAUGUCCAGGGCUUCACACAUGCUACAAUGGCCGGUACAAAGGGCUGCGAUGCCGUGAGGUGGAGCGAAUCCUUUCAAAGCCGGUCUCAGUUCGGAUCGGGGUCUGCAACUCGACCCCGUGAAGUCGGAGUCGCUAGUAAUCGCAGAUCAGCAACGCUGCGGUGAAUACGUUCCCGGGCCU
This 1330-nucleotide ribosomal RNA is filed under the name uncultured bacterium. RNAcentral describes it as "bacterial SSU rRNA". It matches the Rfam family "Bacterial small subunit ribosomal RNA", at positions 28 to 1381 of the family's 1533-position model. The record is from RNAcentral.